AGAUAUCUACCACAGUGUGGAAGAGCUCCUGGGUGUGCUGUAACUAAUCUCUGAUACAGAUGUGCAGACUGUGAGUCUUGCAAUUCAACACUGAUCCAGUGUUUGGGAUGAGGUUAAUCUUCCUCAACAGUAAGGACAAGGGAGAGUUGGAAGACUGACCAACCCUGCCACUACCCACGUCCAGAACCAGGGUUAUGAGUUGACCUACCCUAACAUCUACCCCAUCUGUGAUCUGUUGGAGCUCAUGAAGGGAUCAGUCCUACAGACCAAAAGCUGCAGGAUUUCCAUGACACAGGACUACAGCAGGAUAACCAAAAGGAGUUCCAGUGAGGACCAGCAUCACUAGUGUAGCAGAAACCAGAGGCCUAGAAGCAGACCAAUGACUUUCUGCAAUGAACACAUGCAAGUAAUGACAUAUGGACACAGGGGUUUACUGUGUGACACACUGAGUCUCACCACAGCUUCCAUGACAAGAUUGAUUUUUCCUUCUCUUUUUUCAUCUUUUUUUCUCUUAGACUUUAUUUUAUUUUAGGGAGGAGGUUGCAAGGGAAGAGGGUGAAUACGAAGGGACAGGGAAUUGAAUGGUUUGGAGAUGCAUGAUGUGAAAGCCACAAAGAAUAAAUGAAAAGAAAGAAAGAAAGGUCAGUUCUCCCCCGAUAUAGACUGUGAGCAGAUGAACAGCAAAAGAAUGUAGAUAGCAAAUAAACAUAUAAAAAGUUGCUCAAACUGACUCCUCUUCCAGAGGUCCUGAGUUCAAUUCCCAGCAACCACAUGGUGGAUCACAACCAUCUGUAAGGAGAUCUGGUGCCCUCUUCUGGCUUGCAGGCAGAACACUGUAUACUUAAUAAUAAAUAAAUAAAUAAAUGUUUUAAAAGUUGCUCAACAGGCUGGAGCAACUCCAGCUCAAUGAUUAAAGUACUGGUUGCUCUUGCAGAGGACCUGGGUUUGAUUCCCAGCACCACACG
Mesocricetus auratus (golden hamster) is the source of this 965-nucleotide long non-coding RNA. RefSeq lists it as uncharacterized. NCBI's taxonomy places the organism in Eukaryota, Metazoa, Chordata, Mammalia, Rodentia, Cricetidae. The transcript is spliced from 2 exons. The record is from RefSeq and is a predicted model, not a curated record.